AAAGAUAUCAUUGAGAUUUUUGACAUUGAUCUUAAAAUUUACUUCGAUUCUCAAAUUUUUCCCAAAGUUUUUGCCAACACAUAGACAAUUGCCAAAAUUUAUGACAUUUUCACUUUUUUUUUUGUGUUGGGUUUCACUUUAAAAUCGCAAAGUUCUUAGAAGCACUGCAAGAAGAUCCUCUCAAAAUGAUGCUCCAAAGACUGGCUCUUUAACCAACAAUUUCCAAAUUAACUGAUAACGUCAACUCAAGGAGAUGAAGCCAAGUAGAGAAAGAGAGAGAAAGAGAAAGAGAUGGAGCAACCUCAUAAAUCACUCAGCCGUUGGGCUCGGUUUCGUUAGUGCUUUCUGUGUAUUUGCCAUGCAAACUGCAAUUGGUUUUGGUGGCUAAGAAUGAACUACCUAAUCUAGACAAUGAAAGGAUCCAUGCAUGAGACGUCUCAGUCGCCAUCCAAAAGGGGAGACUUGAUUUCGCUUUGCUUUACUUGCUU
Molecule: long non-coding RNA, 488 nt
Organism: Drosophila willistoni
Lineage: Eukaryota; Metazoa; Arthropoda; Insecta; Diptera; Drosophilidae
Exons: 3
Source: RefSeq, a predicted model, not a curated record